RNAcentral lists this ribosomal RNA (414 nucleotides) under uncultured bacterium. Its description in RNAcentral is "bacterial SSU rRNA". It matches the Rfam family "Bacterial small subunit ribosomal RNA", at positions 9 to 425 of the family's 1533-position model. The record is from RNAcentral.
GAGUUUGAUCAUGGCUCAGGAUGAACGCUGGCGGCGUGCUUAACACAUGCAAGUCGAACGAUGAAGGGAAGCUUGCUUUCUGGAUUAGUGGCGAACGGGUGAGUAACACGUGAGUAACCUGCCCUUGACUCUGGGAUAAGCACUGGAAACGGUGUCUAAUACCGGAUACGAACUUCAGUCGCAUGGCUAGGAGUUGGAAAGAAUUUCGGUCAAGGAUGGACUCGCGGCCUAUCAGCUAGUUGGUGAGGUAAUGGCUCACCAAGGCGACGGCGGGUAGCCGGCCUGAGAGGGUGACCGGCCACACUGGGACUGAGACACGGCCCAGACUCCUACGGGAGGCAGCAGUGGGGAAUAUUGCACAAUGGGCGCAAGCCUGAUGCAGCAACGCCGCGUGAGGGAUGACGGCCUCGGUUG